GGAUAGCUACCCUUAGGACCGGGAUAACUUUGGGAAACUGAGGAUAAUACUGGAUAGGCAAUUUUUCCUGUAAUGGUUUUUUGUUUAAAUGUUUUUUCGCCUAAGGAUGGGUCUGCGGCCGAUUAGGUAGUUGGUUAGGUAACGGCUUACCAAGCCGUUGAUCGGUACGGGUUGUGAGAGCAAGAGCCCGGAGAUGGAACCUGAGACAAGGUUCCAGGCCCUACGGGGUGCAGCAGGCGCGAAACCUCCGCAAUGUGAGAAAUCGCGACGGGGGGAUCCCAAGUGCCAUUCUUAACGGGAUGGCUUUUCAUUAGUGUAAAAAGCUUUUGGAAUAAGAGCUGGGCAAGACCGGUGCCAGCCGCCGCGGUAACACCGGCAGCUCUAGUGGUAGCAAUUUUUAUUGGGCCUAAAGCGUCCGUAGCCGGUUUAAUAAGUCUCUGGUGAAAUCCUGUAGCUUAACUGUGGGAAUUGCUGGAGAUACUAUUAGACUUGAGACCGGGAGAGGUUAGAGGUACUCCCAGGGUAGAGGUGAAAUUCUGUAAUCCUGGGAGGACCGCCUGUUGCGAAGGCGUCUAACUGGAACGGUUCUGACGGUGAGGGACGAAAGUUAGGGGCGCGAACCGGAUUAGAUACCCGGGUAGUCCUAACUGUAAACGAUGCGGACUUGGUGUUGGGGUGGCUUUGAGCUGCUCCAGUGCCGAAGGGAAGCUGUUAAGUCCGCCGCCUGGGAAGUACGGUCGCAAGACUGAAACUUAA
RNAcentral lists this ribosomal RNA (756 nucleotides) under uncultured archaeon. RNAcentral describes it as "bacterial SSU rRNA". It matches the Rfam family "Archaeal small subunit ribosomal RNA", at positions 102 to 859 of the family's 1478-position model. The record is from RNAcentral.